RNAcentral lists this ribosomal RNA (462 nucleotides) under uncultured bacterium. Its description in RNAcentral is "SSU rRNA". It matches the Rfam family "Bacterial small subunit ribosomal RNA", at positions 26 to 518 of the family's 1533-position model. The record is from RNAcentral.
AGAAUCAACGCUGGCGGCGUGCCUAACACAUGCAAGUCGAACGAGAAAGUGGGAGCAAUCCCACGAGUAAAGUGGCGCACGGGUGAGUAACACGUGACUAACCUACCCUUGAGUGGGGGAUAACCUAGGGAAACCUGGGCUAAUACCGCAUAAUACCUACGGGUCAAAGGAGCAAUUCGCUUAAGGAGGGGGUCGCGGCAGAUUAGUUAGUUGGCGGGGUAAUGGCCCACCAAGACAGUGAUCUGUAUCCGGCCUGAGAGGGCGCACGGACACACUGGAACUGAAACACGGUCCAGACUCCUACGGGAGGCAGCAGUGGGGAAUUUUGCGCAAUGGGGGAAACCCUGACGCAGCAACGCCGCGUGGAGGAUGAAGCCCCUUGGGGCCGUAAACUCCUUUCGAUCGGGAAGAUAAUGACGGUACCGGAAGAAGAAGCCCGGCUAACUUCGCGCCAGCAGCCGC